RNAcentral lists this long non-coding RNA (1975 nucleotides) under Panax ginseng (ginseng). RNAcentral describes it as "long non-coding RNA (PGIN_LNC006242)". Lineage: Eukaryota; Viridiplantae; Streptophyta; Magnoliopsida; Apiales; Araliaceae. The record is from RNAcentral.
GAAAACAAAACCUUUAACCUGAAAAUAUAGAUAUCAAAAUGUUUAAACAUUACAGUGAAAUUUGACUGGGUUCAGACCAAUAUAGCCAUUUAAAUUAAACAAAUAAAAAAAACUGUCCCCAUAGGAUCAUGGCAGAAAAUGCUCCCAGGAGAUAAAAAUGGUAUGGACUUUCCUCCAAGGAAGUAGAAGUGCAACCAUUGUCAUGAAUACGGCCGGGAGAUGAUGUCCUACACAAACCAAACUAUCCAACCUGCGUGCAGGAAAGUUUUUUCACCAUGUAAACUAUUCAUUUACCUGAUAUAGUAAAACUUGUAUAUCUUGAGAAAUAAUAGAAAAGGAUACUACACUGCAGUCAUUAUUAUAAGAUUUAAUGAUAUUUAUUUAGGCGAUUUAAAGAUAAUUACUACCCCGCACAUGAGAAACAACAGGAAAGAAAAAAAGGUCGUACAUCCUUUCACGAUGCAUCUAUUCCUCAAAUCUCAAUACUAUAGCUAACAGAACAUGAAUUUGUCCACAAAGCAACUAUGAGAAAGCAACCAACCCACCUCUCACAAAAGGAUGAAAGCACUACAUGGAACGGUAGGUGUUAAGAGGAGCAUAAUCCAACCAUUACUGCAAGUAAAAAUGAGACCAAAAUACGUGAGAGCACUGUUUAUCAAAUGAAUGUUACUAGAAACAAAAAGCGAAACUGUACGAAUUGUACUUGUAUAAGCUUAGGAAUAGCACUCAAGCUUCUGGGAAAGUGCUUUGAACUAUUACAUGUGGCAAAAACCAUACAACAUUGUCAAGUCAGCAAUUAACAUGCAAUCCAAUUUAUGCCAACCAAAUUGCAUUACAUGCAUGCUUUAAUCCACAUAACACUCAAAAAACUGAGGCAACCAAUAGGACAUAGCCUGGAUGGAGUUUCUUCCCAUAUGGACACAAUUACUCAUCAGAAUAGCAUCUCCUUUGCACAACAGGAGAAUGGGGGCAGAUAUGGAAAAAAUGUUAAAUCCAAAAUAAAUUGUCAACACCCUAAGCAAAUGCUGCAUAAUGUUUAUUGUAUUAUUUCCUAAAAUAUUGUACUUAAAAAUGCUUAUGAGAUAUAUUGUCCUUGCAAUACCAUUUCACUUGUCAUAUAUCUUACCCAGAAAAUGAGAAAAGAUCGACAUUCCAACAACUGCCAAAACAUAGGUGUGACGUUCAUGACAUAGGAGCGCUAUUAAGCUUGAGUUAACCAGAUAUUUAAGGGAAUAUUCCACUUUAUUAAUACCAUAGUAGAGAUCAUAUAUCAGCUAAUCAGAAAGUCAGAUAUACUACAUACCAUGGAUAAUUCACAUAUAUGAAAAAUAUUUUAUAAGCACAUUUAAGACAAGAAUGAUGCGGAAAUGGAAAUUUUAAAAUAGAAACAAAAAGGACAUACUGUUUUGAAAUAUUUGGACCACAAGUUAGAUGCAAAGUUUUAUUUGUAAACUUGUUAAGUAUAUAACCAGUCGACAAAUAUUAUCACAUUUUGAAACUUCACAAAAAAUGAGUAGGUAAACUUUUGUUGACCAAAUUUUGAGUUCCUAAACAAAAAUCAUUAUUACCCUUAACUCCAACAUUCGUGUUAUUACUAAUGAGCCUCAUGAACAUCCUUUCUGCAUCACCCCUCUUAUAUCUACACAUCACAUCAAAUCAAAAGGGAAGUAUGGUCUUCUGCACUCAAGAUUUCCUUGGCUUUUGAAAAGUGACAAUCAUUCUGAAACAAAAUAAAGCUAAAAUUGAUCUUUGGGAAAUUGAGGGACUAGUAUUUAGACAUUCGUUGGUUACCAUACAGUUUCUGACACGAAUGUACUUCUCGUACAUGUCAUUCCUAUGCAGAGACCCUUAUAUAGCCUUUUUUUUCCUUUUUUUGAGGAGUCGGGCACAAAAAUAGUUAUGCAGCAAGUAUAUGAACAAGACAAGUCGCUGGUAAGUCAUAACAUGGGGUCUCAAGUGCCGUGAAAAGAAAUAC